UCAUGUGUGUGUAGUCUGACACACACUGCUUUGGUUAUACUGGAGACAUACAAUAAAGUCAUAACACAGGUUACAGAUUUACAGAGGGGGCGGGCUGAUAGCAGCUGUGAGUUCAUUUCAGACUGUUUUAUUCUGGACUUUGACCGUGCAGGCUGCUCUCCACUGAGGCGAGGCGACUCUGAAACGCACAAGCACUCCAAGAUGACUCACAUGAAGGACAGACUCCUCCUGAAACCUCAGCUCAGUGACUUUGGUGCACUGAUCUUGUAUCAAGCUGUGGUCUUCCUUCUGCUAACACACUCCAGUGGAGGUCAGUCUCAGGUGAUCGGCACGUCUCAGGCAGUGGUGGCAAUGGUUGGUGCCGACACCAUUCUGCCAUGUCACCUGGAAACUGCCGUGGAUGCUACCGACCUGACUGUGGAGUGGGCGAGACUUGACCUGGACCCAAGAUUUGUCCAUUUGAGGCGAGACAGUACGGAGAUGGUGCAGCAGGAGAAUCAACUGUUCACGGGGAGGACAUCACUGUCCACCAACAAACUGAAGUGUGGAGACGUUUCACUGAAACUGUCCAAUGUAAGACUUUCUGAUGCCGGGACAUACAGAUGCCUCGUUCCCGAUUCUGGUACAGAAUCUGAGGUCGUGCUCACUGUUGGCUCUGUCUCCUCACCUGGUGUAGAGAUUUCCAAAGUCAGCAACGGAGUGUUGUUGGUGUGUAAGUCUGCAGGCUGGUAUCCAGAGCCUGAGGUGUUGUGGCUGGACGGUGAGGGAAACCUCGUCUCUGCUGGACCUCCAGAGACAGUCAGAGGUCCUGAUGACCUCUAUACUGUCAGCAGCAGAGUGACUGUGGAGAAGAGACACGGCAACAGCUUCACCUGUAGAGUCCAGCAGAGGAACAUCAACCACACCACAGAGACAACUCUUCAUCUUCCAGUUUCUCUCUUCAUGUUUGAGACCAGCACUGCUGCUCGUAUCAUCAUCUGCUUGGUUGUGUCCAUCGUGCCUGUUGUUGCAGUCGUCAUUGUUGUGAUGAAAUGGGGACGAAACAAAAAAGAAACCACAGACCACAACACAGAAUAUCUGAUGGUGGGAGAAGGAGACAGAGAGACGCCCAUGACAGGAAGGGAGACUAUCAUCUAUCUGGACAACACAAAGGCUAAACUUGAUGAGGAGUUACAGAAGACUGAGGAAGAACUGAAACAUGUAAAACAGAUGGUUGAAAAACUGACGAAGCAGAAGACUGAUCUGAAGAACCAGACACAAGGACUCAACUCACUGCUGCAGGAGGACAAGGCGCAGAUGGUGGAGUGUGAGAAGAAGCUGAGGGAGAAAACCAAAAUUGACAAAGAAACAAAAAUGCAGAAGCGUCUAAAGACCCAAAUGGCUGUGGAGCGGAGAAAGAAAGAACAUGAUGAACUGUCACUGAACACACAGAAACUACUGGAGACAACAGAGCAGAUGAUUAUUGAAAUGUCAGAGAGGAAGGGAAAACUAGAGCGAGAUAAAGAGCAAAUAAUGAAACACCUGGAGGUGACAGAGAGAAGGAGAGAAGAGGUUCAGAAGAAACUUCAGUCAGAGGGAGAAGAGGAAAUGAUAGAUACAGCACCCAGUGAUCCAUCAUGAUUGGUUCACUUUACUUCCUGUUAACACACUUUGUUGUAGAGAACCUGAGGCGUCUUUUCAGGUCCUUCACCAUCACCUGAAGCGUCUACCUGCUUAUUACAAACACCUCCAGCUACAGUCUGAACACAUGUUCCAGGUCAGGUGACUGAAGGCUCUGUGUUUUAGACAGGUUAUUAUUAUGAUUUCUCUUAAUCGCUGUGUUAGUUAUCAGGGAUGGGCAGUCUUUCUAUUACUUGUAUUUAAAAUACCUAUUUGAGUAUUUUGUAAUUUGUAUUUGAUAAGGCCGAUAAAAAGCAAAUGUAAUCUGUAACUAAAUACUUUUGAGUGGAGUAAUUUUGUAUUUAAAAUACUCAAAAUACUUUCUCCAUGAAUCAAAAAACAAAAAUAACAGGCUGCACAUUCUUAUAAUAUUGGAUGUAAGAAUAUAUUUUUAAAAAAAUAUAUUUGUAUCUAUAUGUUUAUUUAAUCUUGGGCCCUUCAGUGACCUCGUGGUCUGUUUCACUGGACUGUGCAUCACAUAGGAAACUGUAUGUUGUUGUGGUUGAUGCUUGGGAUGAGUCUGCUACAAAUGAACUGCCUCACGUGAGAUCAAUGAAGUUGUCUGAAUCUAAAUCUGAAUCAAUCAGUAAUAUUUUAGCGUAGCCUACAUGUCCCUAGCUUUGUUCUCUCUUUUUCAUUUGACAAAAGUUUAAAUUCAUUCAUAUGUUAUCAUCACAGUGUCUGUGAAUAUUUUAUUUGUUGAUACAAAAAAGUUUAUGGGCUGUUAAGUCUGGUUAAUAAAUAUAUAUAUACAUAAUCAAGUUGUUGUCUUUUAAUGGCUUUGCUUAGUUACACUUAGUUAGUCCUGUGACUGUUCACCAGAGCUUUGUGUUUAUCCUACAGCUCAAACCUGAAUACUCUGCUUCACCAAACUGGGAGAAAACAAUUUGCAAUAGCUGCGACCAAACUUGCUUCUAUCAUGCCAUUAAUGGAUGAAUCAUGGUUGUUCUUUCUGGUAUAGUUACUCAUG
This is an RNA transcript of Epinephelus fuscoguttatus (brown-marbled grouper), 2629 nucleotides long. It is a transcript of the gene named butyrophilin subfamily 2 member A1-like, with no coding region annotated. Lineage: Eukaryota; Metazoa; Chordata; Actinopteri; Perciformes; Serranidae. The record is from RefSeq and is a predicted model, not a curated record. The transcript is spliced from 7 exons.